Poecilia latipinna (sailfin molly) is the source of this 432-nucleotide long non-coding RNA. RefSeq lists it as uncharacterized. The record is from RefSeq and is a predicted model, not a curated record. The transcript has 2 exons. NCBI's taxonomy places the organism in Eukaryota, Metazoa, Chordata, Actinopteri, Cyprinodontiformes, Poeciliidae.
UGUUGUCUCCUCGAUGUCCCCGUGUGUGCCGUCUGCCCCGGACUCAGAGUGAGUCUAUGAUCCAUGCUGUUGUGAGUGACCUUCCUCGUGCAUCCUUCCCCAACGCUACUGGUGUUACCAGUCAGACGCCACUCCUCGUGUGCUCGCCUUUCCCCCGUCAUCAGUCCGUCUCCAGUGGAUUUCCCUUCGGGACGCUAAAGGAUUUGUCGGUCCGAGCCCAAACCCAUCUGGAUAAAGGAAAUAACUGGACCAAGUCGAACUCCGCUCUUUCCGCUGCAAACAAUCCUGUCCGCGCUCCAACAAAGCUUUAUUAUCCAGCGCUCUGCUCACAAGUACUCACCUUCAAACCAAUAAGACGACCCGGUCAUCCACUCCAGUAUUCUUCCCCUAUCCUUUUCCUCUGGAUUCAAUAAACUUAUCAUUGUUCAUUUA